This is a long non-coding RNA of Hemicordylus capensis (graceful crag lizard), 449 nucleotides long. RefSeq lists it as uncharacterized. Lineage: Eukaryota; Metazoa; Chordata; Lepidosauria; Squamata; Cordylidae. The transcript has 3 exons. The record is from RefSeq and is a predicted model, not a curated record.
GAGGACUUCCUCCUCCAGAUUCCAGCUUUGCCGAUCACCUCUGCACCAGUCAUCUGGAUGCACAAUUGGCAGAGAUAAGAGGAGCCUCCAAUGAUCUGGGAGGAGGCAGGCAUGCGGCUCUCCCUCUCACUUCCUAGAUUUUAGGAAGACAUAUGAGGAACAAAGAAGAAAAGGAAGUCUGGAGGAGAGGAGAGUGAAUGAACAGAAACUGAAAGGAACCAUAAGGAACUGGAGUAUUGCCACUUCUGGAAAUCUCUGCACGGCUGCUAUGAUUAUUUCUCUUUCUUCUCCUGCUAGUUAUGUUGUGACACAUAUCGAUAUUAAAAUGAAUGCUCUAAGCUCAGGAAUUCCUUGGCCUAGAUUUGGCAGUAACGUUAACCUGUCUAUCUUGGUCUAUUGUUUUUGUUUAAAGGUUAUUUCUCUUAAGCAUGACUGUAUAUUGUACUGUA